RNAcentral lists this ribosomal RNA (425 nucleotides) under Salmonella enterica. RNAcentral describes it as "bacterial SSU rRNA". It matches the Rfam family "Bacterial small subunit ribosomal RNA", at positions 166 to 589 of the family's 1533-position model. The record is from RNAcentral. Lineage: Bacteria; Pseudomonadati; Pseudomonadota; Gammaproteobacteria; Enterobacterales; Enterobacteriaceae.
AUACCCAAUGAUAUCUCUAGAAGACAUCUGAAAGAGAUUAAAGAUUUAUCGGUGAUGGAUGGGGAUGCGUCUGAUUAGCUUGUUGGCGGGGUAACGGCCCACCAAGGCAACGAUCAGUAGGGGUUCUGAGAGGAAGGUCCCCCACAUUGGAACUGAGACACGGUCCAAACUCCUACGGGAGGCAGCAGUGAGGAAUAUUGGUCAAUGGACGAGAGUCUGAACCAGCCAAGUAGCGUGCAGGAAGACGGCCCUAUGGGUUGUAAACUGCUUUUAUAAGGGAAUAAAGUGAGUCUCGUGAGACUUUUUGCAUGUACCUUAUGAAUAAGGACCGGCUAAUUCCGUGCCAGCAGCCGCGGUAAUACGGAAGGUCCGGGCGUUAUCCGGAUUUAUUGGGUUUAAAGGGAGCGUAGGCCGGAGAUUAAGCG